This 634-nucleotide unclassified non-coding RNA is filed under the name Hevea brasiliensis (rubber tree). Lineage: Eukaryota; Viridiplantae; Streptophyta; Magnoliopsida; Malpighiales; Euphorbiaceae. The record is from RNAcentral.
AAUAUGAUUGGAAUAAAGAAGGUAAUUGAAUUUGAUCAUUUAGACUUGUUUAUAUAUUAUUUUUUUUCUCUUACUAUUGGAGUUGUAAUGUUAACAAUUGGCAUUCUUUCAUAAAUAACUUUGGUGCAAUGAAUGUUAGAAAAUCACAGAGGUUUGAAUGUGUGGACAUUGUUGAACAAAUCAUAGAGCCAAACGUGUGGAAAUAACUGCAUUGGUAGUCAUAUUGUGUCAAAAUAUAAAUUGAUAAGGAUGUUUGACAACAUGAUAAUCUGCAAUGUAGAGCUCUGUUUUUUAUUUAUUUUCUGCAAUGAAUUCCUCUAUCACAUAAGGGGUUAGGUUGAAUUCUAGCGUUGUAGAGUAGUUUGGUUGAAUUGAGUUGUUGGCUUCAUCCAAUGGUACAACUGUAGGAUAUCAAGUUUGCAGCAAGCAUGACCUUGUCUGCUCACAAUUACCCUUAGUAAACUUUUGAUGAUACUAUAUUCUGAACUGUGGUUUAUAUGCCGAGCAUGGUUUCAAAUCGCAGUUGCGGGUAAAGGAAACAUGCCUGUAACGGGCAUAACAUAACGGUAAUGGCCUGGUGCUAGUGCUACGCAAAUUUUUUUAAAAAAUUUAUGUAUUUCAUAAAAUGAGUAGA